AGAUUUAUCGGUGCAGGAUGGGCCCGCGGCCUAUCAGCUUGUUGGUGGGGUAAUGGCCUACCAAGGCGACGACGGGUAGCCGACCUGAGAGGGUGACCGGCCACACUGGGACUGAGACACGGCCCAGACUCCUACGGGAGGCAGCAGUGGGGAAUAUUGCACAAUGGGCGGAAGCCUGAUGCAGCGACGCCGCGUGAGGGAUGAAGGCCUUCGGGUUGUAAACCUCUUUCAGCAGGGACGAAGCGUGAGUGACGGUACCUGCAGAAGAAGCACCGGCUAACUACGUGCCAGCAGCCGCGGUAAUACGUAGGGUGCGAGCGUUGUCCGGAAUUACUGGGCGUAAAGAGUUCGUAGGCGGUUUGUCGCGUCGUUUGUGAAAACCCGGGGCUCAACUUCGGGCUUGCAGGCGAUACGGGCAGACUUGAGUGUUUCAGGGGAGACUGGAAUUCCUGGUGUAGCGGUGAAAUGCGCAGAUAUCAGG
Molecule: ribosomal RNA, 481 nt
Filed under: Rhodococcus sp. (in: high G+C Gram-positive bacteria)
Lineage: Bacteria; Bacillati; Actinomycetota; Actinomycetes; Mycobacteriales; Nocardiaceae
Description: bacterial SSU rRNA
Rfam family: Bacterial small subunit ribosomal RNA
Source: RNAcentral